AUUGAACGCUGGCGGCAGGCCUAACACAUGCAAGUCGAAAGAGUGGCGGACGGGUGAGAAAUGUCUGGGAAACUGCCCGAUGGAGGGGGAUAACUACGGGAAACGGUAGCUAAAACCGCAUCCCAUCGGAUGUGCCCAGAUGGGACUAGCUAGGAGGUGGGGGAACGUCUCCCCUAGGGGACGCACCCUAGCUGGUCGUAGAGGAUGACCAGUCACACUGAAACUGAGACACGGUCCAGACUCCUACGUGAGGCAGCAGUGAGAAUCAUUGGACAAUGGGCGGAAGCCUGGUGCAGCCAAGCCGGGUGUAUGAAGAAGGCCUUCGGGUUGUAAAGUACUUUCAGCGAGGAGGUGGUACUCGCAGAAGAAGCACCGGCUAACUCCGUGCCAGCAGCCGCGGUAAUAC
This 406-nucleotide ribosomal RNA is filed under the name uncultured bacterium. RNAcentral describes it as "partial 16S ribosomal RNA". It matches the Rfam family "Bacterial small subunit ribosomal RNA", at positions 29 to 526 of the family's 1533-position model. The record is from RNAcentral.